CAGUAGCCGCGGUAAUACGGAGGGUGCAAGCGUUAAUCGGAAUUACUGGGCGUAAAGCGCACGCAGGCGGUCUGUCAAGUCAGAUGUGAAAUCCCCGGGCUUAACCUGGGAACUGCAUUUGAAACUGGCAGGCUAGAGUCUUGUAGAGGGGGGUAGAAUUCCAGGUGUAGCGGUGAAAUGCGUAGAGAUCUGGAGGAAUACCGGUGGCGAAGGCGGCCCCCUGGACAAAGACUGACGCUCAGGUGCGAAAGCGUGGGGAGCAAACAGGAUUAGAUACCCCAGUAGUCCCUGUCUCUUAUAU
Molecule: ribosomal RNA, 301 nt
Filed under: uncultured bacterium
Lineage: Bacteria
Description: partial 16S ribosomal RNA
Rfam family: Bacterial small subunit ribosomal RNA
Source: RNAcentral